RNAcentral lists this long non-coding RNA (372 nucleotides) under Carica papaya (papaya). Its description in RNAcentral is "long non-coding RNA (CPAP_LNC016127)". Lineage: Eukaryota; Viridiplantae; Streptophyta; Magnoliopsida; Brassicales; Caricaceae. The record is from RNAcentral.
GGUCGUCCAUCGCGAUGCAAUCUGGGCCGUCCGUUCCUGAUUGAAUCUGGGUUGUCCGUGCGCGUGAAUCUGGGCCGUCCGCGCGCGUGAAUCUGGGCUGUCCGUGCGCGCGGGAACGGAUCUGGGCCAUCCGAUCGCUCGCACGCGGAUCGCCCACGUGGCUCGUCCCCUGGUCAGCGUUUCCUUGCCACGCGGCGCGUCCUGAUUGGCCGGGGCUGCUGACCGGGCCGCUGACGUGGCUGCUGACGUGGCACAAUUUUUCUAAAUUGCGUUUUGACCCCCGGUUUCUAAUUUUCUUUUCAAAAACACCCCCAGAAUCCAAAUUUUCACCCCUUUUUCCCAAAAUCAAUUUCAAUUAAAUCCAAAUAAUAU